RNAcentral lists this transfer RNA (72 nucleotides) under Streptomyces mutabilis. Lineage: Bacteria; Bacillati; Actinomycetota; Actinomycetes; Kitasatosporales; Streptomycetaceae. The record is from RNAcentral.
CUGGAAGCGUCACCGACCGGCUGCGUCGCCGCAUCUUCGUCGCUCACCACCGUGACGGUGCUCCGAGCAGCG